UGGGAGCUUGCUCCCUGAUGUUAGCGGCGGACGGGUGAGUAACACGUGGGUAACCUGCCUGUAAGACUGGGAUAACUCCGGGAAACCGGGGCUAAUACCGGAUGGUUGUUUGAACCGCAUGGUUCAGACAUAAAAGGUGGCUUCGGCUACCACUUACAGAUGGACCCGCGGCGCAUUAGCUAGUUGGUGAGGUAACGGCUCACCAAGGCGACGAUGCGUAGCCGACCUGAGAGGGUGAUCGGCCACACUGGGACUGAGACACGGCCCAGACUCCUACGGGAGGCAGCAGUAGGGAAUCUUCCGCAAUGGACGAAAGUCUGACGGAGCAACGCCGCGUGAGUGAUGAAGGUUUUCGGAUCGUAAAGCUCUGUUGUUAGGGAAGAACAAGUGCCGUUCAAAUAGGGCGGCACCUUGACGGUACCUAACCAGAAAGCCACGGCUAACUACGUGCCAGCAGCCGCGGUAAUACGUAGGUGGCAAGCGUUGUCCGGAAUUAUUGGGCGUAAAGGGCUCGCAGGCGGUUUCUUAAGUCUGAUGUGAAAGCCCCCGGCUCAACCGGGGAGGGUCAUUGGAAACUGGGGAACUUGAGUGCAGAAGAGGAGAGUGGAAUUCCACGUGUAGCGGUGAAAUGCGUAGAGAUGUGGAGGAACACCAGUGGCGAAGGCGACUCUCUGGUCUGUAACUGACGCUGAGGAGCGAAAGCGUGGGGAGCGAACAGGAUUAGAUACCCUGGUAGUCCACGCCGUAAACGAUGAG
Molecule: ribosomal RNA, 756 nt
Filed under: Bacillus siamensis
Lineage: Bacteria; Bacillati; Bacillota; Bacilli; Caryophanales; Bacillaceae
Description: bacterial SSU rRNA
Rfam family: Bacterial small subunit ribosomal RNA
Source: RNAcentral